CACCGCGGUUAUACGAGAGGCCUGAGUUGACAGACACCGGCGUAAAGAGUGGUUAGGGAACUCAUAAACUAAAGCCGAAUAUCCUCAAAGCUGUCAUACGCUACGAGGACAAGAAGCCCCACUACGAAAGUGGCUUUAACUCUCCUGACCCCACGAAAGCUGAGGGA
RNAcentral lists this ribosomal RNA (167 nucleotides) under Hyporhamphus yuri. Its description in RNAcentral is "partial 12S ribosomal RNA". The record is from RNAcentral. Lineage: Eukaryota; Metazoa; Chordata; Actinopteri; Beloniformes; Hemiramphidae.